RNAcentral lists this ribosomal RNA (2973 nucleotides) under Triticum aestivum (bread wheat). Its description in RNAcentral is "partial small subunit ribosomal RNA". The record is from RNAcentral. Lineage: Eukaryota; Viridiplantae; Streptophyta; Magnoliopsida; Poales; Poaceae.
AUGUCUGCUGCAACUGAAAUUGAUCAUUUAUCACUAAAUAGGCUUCUGCUCAGUGGAGCUCCUGCUUACAUGAUCAGUCUAGCACAAGACACUUCUCCUACCACAAAAACAAGUGAUCCUAUUCCUCCAGAAGUACAAGAAGUAUUGGAGAAAUACCCUGAUAUCUUCACAGAGCCUGCAGGCCUUCCUCCUAAGAGGGAGCGUGACCAUGAGAUCCCCUUGGCACCUGGAAUUGACCCUCCUAACACAAGACCAUAUAGAGUACCCCACACUCAGAGAGAUGAGCUGGAGCAUCAGAUCCAUCUGUUACUCAAAAACAGAGUUAUAAGACCCAGCCAGAGCCCCUUUGCUUCUCCUGCAAUCCUUGUCAGAAAAAAAGAUGGCUCAUGGAGACUCUGCAUUGAUUAUAGAAAAUUGAAUGCAGCCACUGUCAAAAACAAGUUUCCUAUACCGGUAAUAGAAGAUCUUCUUGAUGAACUACAUGGAGCAACAGUCUUUUCCAAAUUGGACUUAAGGUCAGGCUAUCAUCAAGUGAGAAUGAAAGAAGAAGACAUACCAAAGACUGCCUUCAGAACUUCUUUUGGCCACUACGAGUUUUUAGUCAUGCCUUUUGGCCUUUCCAAUGCACCUGGCACCUUUCAAGCUCUCAUGAACAACAUCUUUGGCAGAUAUGUCAGGAAGUUUAUACUAGUGUUCUUUGAUGAUAUACUAGUCUUUAGCAAAACACUUGCAGAACAUGUCUCCCACCUGCAAAUUGUCAUGGACCUUUUGAAAGAACAUCAGCUCAAAGUCAAACUGUCCAAAUGCCACUUUGCUGUCCCUCAAGUGGAGUACCUAGGCCACAUCAUCAACAGCUCUGGAGUAGCAACAGAUCCUACCAAGAUACAAGCUGUAACAGACUGGCCCACUCCAACCACAGUAACACAACUCAGGGGAUUUCUUGGCCUAUGUGGGUAUUAUCGAAGGUUUGUCAAGAACUUUGGACCAAUAGCAAGACCCCUACAUGAUAUGCUCAAGAAAGACAGUUUUCAUUGGUCUCAAAAUCAAGAUAUUGCCUUUACACAGUUGAAAUCUGCUCUCGCUACUGCUCCAGUACUUGCGCUCCCUAAUUUUUCCCUCCCAUUCAUUCUUGAGACUGAUGCUUCUGGCACUGGGCUAGGUGCUGUACUCAUGCAGAACAGCCAACCCCUGGCUUACUACAGUUCCACCUUAUGCCCAAGAAACACCACUCUCUCAACAUAUGAGAAAGAGGCCCUAGCAAUUAUUGAAGCUCUUAAGCGUUGGAGACAUUACCUCCUUGGACACAAGCUGAUUAUAAGGACUGAUCACCAGAGCUUGCAAUUCAUGACGGAUCAGAAAGUCACAAGCAGUAUUCAGCAUAAACUCAUGGUCAAAUUGUUAGAGUAUAAUUUCCACCUGGAAUAUAGAAAAGGGAAAGAAAAUAUUGCUGCAGAUAUCCUCUCCAGGAAACAUUCUCUCCUAGCAAUUUCCAUUGUCACUCCUGAGUGGAUCAAACAAGUGGAGGCCUCUUACUUACAAGAUCCUCACUGCAAAACCCUCCUCGAACAACUAUUGUUAGCUGCUGAUCACACUGUCAACAAAAACAAACUCCAUGGAGGAGUUAUCAGACAUAAGGGAAGAAUAUAUGUAGGCAAGGAUAGCACACUAAGGAACAAACUCCUCAAAGCCCUGCACUCCUCUGCCAUUGGAGGUCAUUCUGGAAGGAAAGCAUCCUACCAGAGAAUUAAAAGAAUAUUCUAUUGGCCAGGCCUCAAACAAGAUGUGGAUUCAUUUGUGGCUCAAUGCCCAGUUUGUCAGAAAAACAAAGGUGAAAACUGCCCAUACCCUGGGUUCCUAGACCCUCUUCACAUACCUGAUAUGGUGUGGACCCACUUAAGCAUGGAUUUUGUCGAGGGCCUGCCUAAAUCUGAUGGCAUGGAUGUCAAAUUUGUGGUUGUUGACAGGCUGUCCAAAUUUGCCCAUUUCAUUCCUCUGGCCCACCCAUUCACAGUGCAAACCGUGGCCCAAGCCUUCUUGGAUAAUGUAAUCAAACUCCAUGGACCACCACUGGCAAUUGUAUCUGAUCGCGAUAGAAUCUUCACAAGCACACUCUGGCAAGAUAUCUUCAAAGCAAUGGGAAUUGAGCUGCGGUACAGUACAUCGUACCAUCCCCAGUCUGACGGACAUACUGAACGAGUGAACCAAUGCAUCGAGAAUUACCUACGCUGCAUGACAUCAAGCCAUCCAAAGCGCUGGAUCAAACAUUUGGGUCUUGCUGAAUACUGGUACAACACCUCUUUCCACUCCUCUCUUCAAAAGACACCAUUUGAAGCAAUGUACGGCUACCCACCACCAGCAAUCAGUGAGUAUAGUUUGCCUGAUGCCAUCACACCUGAGGCAGUGGAAUUUCUAACUGACAGACAAGCUUUCCUGCAACAACUCAAGUCCAAUUUGGCUGCUGCUCAAGCUCGAAUGAAAAAAUAUGCUGACCGCAAGCGUGUAGACAGGAGUUUGGAAGUAGGCAACAUGGUCUACCUCAAAAUGCAGCCCUACAUGCUCAAUGCAUUUGGUAUCCGUUCUCACAUCAAAUUACAAAGCAAAUACUACGGCCCGUUCAGAGUUCUUGCUCGUAUUGGACAAGUAGCCUACAAAUUGCUUCUACCCGAAGGUGUGGGCAUCCAUCCUGUUUUCCACAUCAGCCAACUCAAAAAGCAUAUCGGGCCAAGGGCAGUACCAUGUGCAGAUUUACCCUUGAUCACCUCUGAUGGCACAAUCCAAACUGAACCCGUACUGGUCCUGGAGACGCGCCAGAUUCCUCGCAACAACGUCGCUGUUGUUCUGUGGCUGGUACAAUGGGCCAACUUGCCCCCUGAUGAUGCAUCAUGGGAAGACGCCGAUUUCAUCAAACGCACCUCCCCCGGCUUCUUCAAGCAAACAGUCCAAGGCUGGUUCCAGCAACCAGCAGCUCCUUGA